Ceratocystis platani is the source of this 116-nucleotide transfer RNA. It matches the Rfam family "tRNA". Rfam says of the family: Transfer RNA (tRNA) molecules are approximately 80 nucleotides in length. Their secondary structure includes four short double-helical elements and three loops (D, anti-codon, and T loops). Further hydrogen bonds mediate the characteristic L-shaped molecular structure. tRNAs have two regions of fundamental functional importance: the anti-codon, which is responsible for specific mRNA codon recognition, and the 3' end, to which the tRNAs corresponding amino acid is attached (by aminoacyl-tRNA synthetases). tRNAs cope with the degeneracy of the genetic code in two manners: having more than one tRNA (with a specific anti-codon) for a particular amino acid; and 'wobble' base-pairing, i.e. permitting non-standard base-pairing at the 3rd anti-codon position. NCBI's taxonomy places the organism in Eukaryota, Fungi, Ascomycota, Sordariomycetes, Microascales, Ceratocystidaceae. The record is from Rfam.
GCUUCGAUGGCGCAGUGGUAGCGCAGUGGUCUCAUAAUUCAUGAGGAGUCUGAUAUUAACUUUCCGAAAUGUAAAAUGCCAUCCAAAGGUCGUGAGUUCGACCCUCACUCGGAGCA